This 897-nucleotide ribosomal RNA is filed under the name uncultured bacterium. Its description in RNAcentral is "bacterial SSU rRNA". It matches the Rfam family "Bacterial small subunit ribosomal RNA", at positions 504 to 1399 of the family's 1533-position model. The record is from RNAcentral.
CGUGCCAGCAGCCGCGGUAAUACAGAGGUGACGAGUGUUGUUCGGAUUUACUGGGCGUAAAGGGUGCGUAGGCGGUUUCGUGUGUCAGAUGUGAAAGCCUACCGUUCAUCGGUAGAAUUGCAUUUGAAACUACGGGGCUAGAGUUCAGGAGAGGGGAGUGGAAUUCUUGGUGUAGCGGUGAAAUGCGUAGAUAUCAAGAGGAACACCGGUUGCGAAGGCGGCUCCCUGGAAUGACACUGACGCUGAGGCACGAAAGCUAGGGGAGCAAACAGGAUUAGAUACCCUGGUAGUCCUAGCCCUAAACGGUGUGCAUUUGGUGUAGGCAGGUUUGUCCCUGCCUGUGUCGGAGCUAACGCGUUAAAUGCACCGCCUGGGAAGUACGGUCGCAAGGCUAAAACUCAAAGGAAUUGACGGGGGCCCGCACAAGCGGUGGAGCAUGUGGCUUAAUUCGAUGCAACGCGAAGAACCUUACCAGGGCUUGACAUGUAACUGCAAGUCCCGUGAAAGCGGGAUGUCUUCGAGAGUGUUACACAGGUGCUGCAUGGCUGUCGUCAGCUCGUGCCGUGAGGUGUUGGGUUAAGUCCCGCAACGAGCGCAACCCUUGUGAUUAGUUGCCAUUACAGUAAUGUAGGCACUCUAAUCAGACUGCCUGUGAUAAGCAGGAGGAAGGUGGGGAUGACGUCAAGUCAGUAUGGUCCUUAUGUCCUGGGCUGCACACGUGCUACAAUGGACGGUACAGAGGGAAGCAAGACCGCGAGGUGGAGCAAACCCCCAAAAACCGUCCCUAGUUCGGAUUGAAGUCUGCAACUCGACUUCAUGAAGCCGGAAUCGCUAGUAAAGGCGUAUCAGCUACGACGCCUUGAAUACGUUCCCGGGCCUUGUACACACCGCCCGUCA